RNAcentral lists this ribosomal RNA (254 nucleotides) under uncultured bacterium. RNAcentral's name for it is "partial 16S ribosomal RNA". It matches the Rfam family "Bacterial small subunit ribosomal RNA", at positions 524 to 776 of the family's 1533-position model. The record is from RNAcentral.
UACGGGGGGAGCAAGCGUUGUUCGGAUUUACUGGGCGUAAAGGGCGCGUAGGCGGCCACCGCAAGUCGAUUGUGAAAUCUCCGGGCUUAACCCGGAAAGGUCAACCGAUACUGCGGGGCUAGAGUGCAGAAGGGGCAACUGGAAUUCUCGGUGUAGCGGUGAAAUGCGUAGAUAUCGAGAGGAACGCCUGCGGCGAAGGCGGGUUGCUGGGCUGACACUGACGCUGAAGUGCGAAAGCUAGGGGAGCGAACGGG